AUGCGAACUAGCCUGGUUGGACUCUCACCCACAGGUCACUGGGGUCUGCCUGGUGGUCAUACCCAGGUCCUGGUCCCCCUGAGCUGCCCUGAAAGGAGUUCUCUCUUUACCUUUCCAGUUCAGUCUUGCAUUUUUACCAGAUGGUCACUGGGAAUGGUGCUUACCGAAAGUCUGGGGUGUGGGAUGGGCCUCUCUGAGACCCCUGGGGCCGUUUGUUGAAAACCCAGAGUCUGGAGGUCCACCCUAAGUCCCCUGAGUUCGCAUCCCUAGAAAUGGGGCUGGAGUUUCUAUUGGGAGAAAACACCUUUGCGGUUUGGUUGGCAGAUUUCGUCUGCUUACACUUAUUGGGGUGACGGUAUACCCGCAUUAAUUCCUAGGCAUUCUUCAUUGCUUGUCCUGUUGCCCUGCCGUCCCCGGCUCCCAGGUGCAGGACUUUGCAGCUGGGUUGCAGCCAAUACCACACGGAUGGUGCAAGUUGAGGCCGGAGGGAGGACGCCAGGAGCCCAGACGUAGAGCUCGGUAUGGAGGCUGGCAGGGACGGAGUCCAGAUUUGACCCUAUGAUGAAAUUCUACAUUGGACAGAAGCAAGGUUCCUCCAAACUGCAGAGCCUUGGGGAGUCUUGGGCAAGGGGAAUCGACUCCAGGCAGAAUUAGGCAGAGAUGGAUGUGGCUCUGGCUGACAGCCCCCAGCAGAGAAUGUGCAAUGGAUUGAAUUGUGUCCCUCCAAGUUCACACAUUGGAGCCCUGACCCCCAGGACCUCAGAAUGUGACUGUACUUGCAGACAGGUCUGUAAAGGGGAUUAAGGUAACAUGAGGUCCCUGGGGUGGGCCCUGAUCCAUUAGGACUGUGUCCUUAUCAGAAGAGGAGAUG
Molecule: long non-coding RNA, 871 nt
Organism: Rhinolophus ferrumequinum (greater horseshoe bat)
Lineage: Eukaryota; Metazoa; Chordata; Mammalia; Chiroptera; Rhinolophidae
Exons: 3
Source: RefSeq, a predicted model, not a curated record